Molecule: long non-coding RNA, 385 nt
Filed under: Homo sapiens (human)
Lineage: Eukaryota; Metazoa; Chordata; Mammalia; Primates; Hominidae
Description: novel transcript
Source: RNAcentral
GAGAAUUUCCCUUAGCCAUCAGAAGCCAUUUCAUCUUGAAAUGCCUGGGAGGUAAUUUCUUCAUCCUAGUACUGUCCUUAUCCAGCCAAUAAUGGAGUCAUAAAAGUGUACAAUAUUCUAGGCCUCCUGCUUCAGUUUUUGAGGACACAAUUUAAGCUCCAUUACUUACAUCUGGAGAGCUGCGUGUCUUUUUAUCACUAUCCUAGAGUAACUAAUGGAAACAGCUUCAGGAAACAGACUUAAAGAUGGGUUUCAUCGAUUGGAUUGAAAAUAUAUUUGAGAGCAUUGGAGAUAUCAUUCUUGCUGUGAGAGAUGGAAAUAAUACAUGUUGUGUGUUGGCAACAUGGUUAUUCAAAUAAUUACUGGUGGAAGCAUGAAAUAAAAG